UACGUAGGGUGCAAGCGUUGUCCGGAAUUAUUGGGCGUAAAGAGCUCGUAGGCGGUCUGUCGCGUCGGCUGUGAAAACCCGGGGCUCAACCCCGGGCCUGCAGUCGAUACGGGCAGACUAGAGUGCGGUAGGGGAGACUGGAAUUCCUGGUGUAGCGGUGAAAUGCGUAGAUAUCAUUUGGAACGCCAAUGGUGAAAACAGGCAGCUGGGAGUGUGCUGACGCUGAGACACGAAAGCCAGGGGAGCGAACGGG
This 253-nucleotide ribosomal RNA is filed under the name uncultured bacterium. Its description in RNAcentral is "partial 16S ribosomal RNA". It matches the Rfam family "Bacterial small subunit ribosomal RNA", at positions 524 to 776 of the family's 1533-position model. The record is from RNAcentral.